Molecule: ribosomal RNA, 501 nt
Filed under: uncultured Sebacina
Lineage: Eukaryota; Fungi; Basidiomycota; Agaricomycetes; Sebacinales; Sebacinaceae
Description: eukaryotic LSU rRNA
Rfam family: 5.8S ribosomal RNA (bases 102-255)
Source: RNAcentral
ACACCUGUGCAUCUUGACUCUGAGCUUGUAAUGAGCGAGGGGUAUUUUACUACACACUUUGUAUGUAUGUGAUAGAAACUGUGCAUAGCACGAAAAAUAACAACUUUUAACAACGGAUCUCUUGGCUCUCGCAUCGAUGAAGAACGCAGCGAAAUGCGAUAAGUAAUGUGAAUUGCAGAAUUCAGUGAAUCAUCGAAUCUUUGAACGCACCUUGCACCCUUUGGUAUUCCGAAGGGUAUGCCCGUUUGAGUGUCAUUGUAAUCUCACACCAACAUUUAUUUGUUGGAGGUGGACUUGGAGGUUGCUGUUGAAAAACGGCUCUUCUUAAAUGUAUUAGUGCGGCUCUGGUUGGACUUGAGCCCGAUGUAAUAAAAUUUCAUCGUGGUGUCUGAUCAAAUUGAGUCUGUGCUUCUAACCGUCUUCGGACAAACUAUUUGACAACUUGGCCUCAAAUCGGGUAGGACUACCCGCUGAACUUAAGCAUAUCAAUAAGCGGAGGAA